This 1377-nucleotide long non-coding RNA is filed under the name Numida meleagris (helmeted guineafowl). Its description in RNAcentral is "lncRNA (ENSNMEG00000002251.1)". Lineage: Eukaryota; Metazoa; Chordata; Aves; Galliformes; Numididae. The record is from RNAcentral.
UGGGGAUCAUUGGGGAUCACUGGGGAUCAUUGGGGAUCACUGGGGAUCAUUGGGGAUCGCUGGGAUCAUUGGGGAUCACUGGGGAUCAUUGGGGAUCUCAGUGCUUGGCACAGCCCCGAGAUCUGGGAACGUUGGGGAUCUGGGACCUUGGCACAGUCCUGGGACCUAGGGGAUCAUUGGGGAUCAUUGGGGAUCGUUAGGGAUCUCUGGGGAUCUCAGACCUUGGCACAGCCCCAGGACCCGGGGGAUCACUGGGGAUCAUUGAGGAUCGCUGGGAUCAUUGGGGAUUGCUGGGGAUCGUUGAGGAUCAGUGGGGAUCUUUGGGGAUCUCAGAGCUUGGCACAGCCCUGGGACCUGGGAACUUUGGGGAUCUGGGACCUUGGCACAGCCCCAAAACCUGGGGGAUCACUGGGAUCAUUGGGGAUCACUGGGGAUCAUUGGGGAUCUCAGUGCUUGGCACAGCCCCGAGAUCUGGGAACUUUGGGGAUCUGGGUCCUUGGCACAGCCGUAGGACCUGGGGGAUCACUGGGGAUCAUUGGGGUCAUUGGGGGUCACUGGGAUCACUGGGGAUCUGGGGGAUCUCAGUGCUUGGCACAGCCCCGGGACCUGGGGGAUCACUGGGAUCACUGGGGAUCACUGGGGAUCACUGGGGAUCUCAGACCUUGGCACAGCCCUGGGAUCCAGAGAACUUUGGGGACUCUUAGCCCCCCCAGUGCAUGCCCCUUGCCCCAUUUUGGGGGGGCUCUUAGCCCCUCUUGGUACAUGCCCCUUGCCCCAUUUUAGGGGGCUCUUAGCCCCCCUCGCUGCGUGCCCCAUGCCCCAUUUUGUGGGCUCUUAGCCCCUCUCAGUGCAUGCCCCUUGCCCCAUUUUGGGGGGGCUCUCAGCCCCUCUUGUUACAUGCCCCCAUGCCCCAUUUUGGGGGGCUCUCAGCCCCUCUUGUUACAUGCCCCUUGCCCCAUUUUGGGGGGCUCUCAGCCCCUCUUGGUCCAUGCCCCUUGCCCCAUUUUGGGGGGGCUCUUAGCCCCUCUUGUUACAUGUCCCUUGGCCCAUUUUGGGGGGGCUCUUAGCCCCUCUUGGUCCAUGCCCCUUGCCCCAUUUUGGGGGGCUCUCAGCCCCUCUUUGUACAUGCCCCUUGCCCCAUUUUGGGGUCUCUUAGCCCCUCUUGUUACAUGCCCCUUGCCCCAUUUUUGGGGGGCUCUUAGCCCCUCUCACUGCGUGCCCCUUGGCCCAUUUUGGGGGGGCUCUUAGCCCCUCUUGGUCCAUGCCCCUUGCCCCAUUUUGGGGGGCUCUCAGCCCCUCUUUGUGCGUGCCCCUUGCCCAAUUUUGGGGUCUCAUUGAGGAACAUGCCCACUUGCUGCUCAGCCAUCACACAGCAGC